This is a small nuclear RNA of Peromyscus californicus insignis, 103 nucleotides long. The record is from RefSeq and is a predicted model, not a curated record. Lineage: Eukaryota; Metazoa; Chordata; Mammalia; Rodentia; Cricetidae.
UCGCUUCAGCAGCACAUAUACUAAAGUUGAAAUGAUACAGAGAAGAUGGGCAUGGCCCCUGCACAAAGACGACAUGCAAAUUCGUGAGGCGUUCUGUAUUUUU